This 377-nucleotide RNase P RNA is filed under the name Vagococcus acidifermentans. Its description in RNAcentral is "Vagococcus sp. AC-1 Bacterial RNase P class B". It matches the Rfam family "Bacterial RNase P class B". Rfam says of the family: Ribonuclease P (RNase P) is a ubiquitous endoribonuclease, found in archaea, bacteria and eukarya as well as chloroplasts and mitochondria. The record is from Rfam by way of RNAcentral. Lineage: Bacteria; Bacillati; Bacillota; Bacilli; Lactobacillales; Enterococcaceae.
GUUUUCGGAUAAUCGCGGCUCGGUCGCAGAACCGGGCUGAGGAAAGUCCAUGCUCGCACAGGCUGAGAUGCUUGUAGUGUUCGUGCUUAACGAAAAAAUAAGUUAAGGUAUUCCCUAUAAGGGGAUAACGGCAGGAAAAACAGCUAAAACGUCAAGUCAUGCUGGAGUACCCUUGAAAGUGCCACAGUGACGAAGUCGAUUUAGAAAUAAAUCGAGUGGAACGGGUAAACCCCUCGAGCGAGCAACCCAAACAUAUGGUAGGGGCACCUUUCUCAAGGAACUGAACUUAGAGAAGGGACAGAGCAAUCUGUAGACAGAUGAUUAUCGUCAGCAUUUUUUGACCUGAGAAGUGCUGAUACAGAACAUGGCUUAUAGAA